This 374-nucleotide long non-coding RNA is filed under the name Gossypium barbadense (sea-island cotton). RNAcentral describes it as "long non-coding RNA (GBAR_LNC016721)". The record is from RNAcentral. Lineage: Eukaryota; Viridiplantae; Streptophyta; Magnoliopsida; Malvales; Malvaceae.
AACCGAUGCACCGGACGUUACGAGGUCUUCCACCACCAAACAAGCUUGACCCUUUUCGUAAACACCUUCGAUGGACUUGGCAGUUCCGUAGUCUUUCACUUCUUUGCGGCGCAUGAGCAUGGGGAUGGAGGUGUCGAGAGAGAUGGAGGUGGCUAUAGGGAGGGCAGUGUAAGGGACACCGCAUAUGAGGUUAAAGUGUGUUUGGGGAGGGAGAGAGGAGAGGAGGGAGUGGGAGAUUUGGUGGAGGAGGGAAGGGUAAGAGACUAUGAGACGGAGGUCUAUGUAGAUAGGGGAGAAGAUCCCAGAUUUCAGCUUGAAGUUACCGAAUUUAACGGCAGAGAUUUCAUGGAGUUGGAGGAUGAGAGACUCCGUUG